Scomber japonicus (chub mackerel) is the source of this 1369-nucleotide long non-coding RNA. RefSeq lists it as uncharacterized. The transcript is spliced from 3 exons. Lineage: Eukaryota; Metazoa; Chordata; Actinopteri; Scombriformes; Scombridae. The record is from RefSeq and is a predicted model, not a curated record.
UAAAUUCCAUAUAGGGCCAUAUAUGGAUUAAGGAGUGCCUUAUACCCAUAUGCCUAUAAAACACCAACCCACAAAAUAAAUAUACCACAUGUCAUGUGCUUCUAUUGCUGCAAUCACUGACUGUCUCUCGCCCACCGCCAUAGUUUGUUUGCUUAAAUGAAUACUCAUACUUUUUAGCAAAUAAGCUGUUUGUUCAACUUCCUGUUGUGCAAUAAAAUGAGUUACACCAUUGAUCCCAGUGGGAUGUGGAACUGCUGUCAGUUGUCACAUUGCACUAAACAAAAGAGUGAAGGGUGACGGAGCAGCUCUCAUCUUGAUAUUUAAACUCUUUGCACUCAGGACAUUCAAUUUAAGGUCUUAGUUAAGCCAUUUGUUCUGUUUUGUUGUGUAGAAGUGACACAGCGCCAUCCAAUUUUAAAAUUUUUGCCACCUGGACCAGAAGAUUUUCUCUGCUGUUGCUCUGUGGCCCUCUGUGGGCGCUUGUGGCGUCCCAGGACACUCAGAGCUGUGGGGGUUGUUGUCGGGGUGGGCCAGUCUCCCACAGGGAAGGUCAAGUCAUUUCCUGCUCUGAGAGACCUCUGUCCCUCACAGCUGUCAGUGUAGUCAGAAACCCAACUCCCACAUCUGUAACCCUCUUUUCUUAUGCUUUUUCAAAGAUGUGAUGGAUUGCUCUGAAGGAAGAACUCCCUCACGCUGCUGCAAAAUUAAAGAUAGACCAUCAAAGUUCAACCACAAUCAAGGACAUCUGUUCAUCACUUUUCUUAUGAGCCCUACUCAAUUAAAGCAGAGAAACAUGAAGGUUAAAGCAGGAAUUAACAAAAAUGCUUUGACCAAAUCCUGAAAUAAGAAAUAUCUCAGAAGAUGAAUGUCUGCCCACCAAUCAUUUAACAGUGUCUCAAGCUGGAAAGGGAAAUAAAAUUUUGGAAUGGGAGAGGAAGUUGGCAGGACAGAGUGCACACCGCAGUUAUAAAUCUGAUAACAGCUGUUUACUAAAAACCACCUGCUCAAUGGAAAACAAACUGGACAGGUUUAGUGUCACCCAGAGAAUACACUUUACCAUAAAUUCACAUUAGAUUUUCAUAUUUCUCAAACUGACUUGCACAUUCAUAGUUUCUGUUUUUUUUGUGUAUCUUUGUGUUACACCUGUUGCUAAUAAAAAAAUAACAUAUGUUUCUCUUCUAAGGUCACAAAUGCUUCAAUCAGCUGAUGACCAGGAAUGGACAGGGAGGAUCUGAAGAUAUUUCAGGAGGGGAGCAAACACUUCUUACAUGUUAAAUCUCAGCUGGAUAAUGUAGUUUGAGUUGAUAACAGCAGCUUCCUAAAUUUGCAUUUCAUUGCUGUCUCAUUUGACCAUUUUGGAGUAAACCAU